UAGGGAAAAAAGGUUACGACAAAAUAAGUGUUCUGCUUUAGCGAAAAACCAGCCCCUUUCUAAAAAAUAAGGUCUUUCUUUCUCACAGAAGAAUACACUAAGAAACCAGCCCCUUUGCUUCUUCUUAUUCUUCUCCUCUAAUCUUUCAUUAAUUUUCCCAGAUGCGUUACUACAUCAACUCUUUUCUAAAAUAAUGGUGUUUUGAGAUGUGCGUGGUUUCCAAUUUCUUCAAGGUGAAGUGCUGCAAAACUCUACAUUGUUGCUGAACUUUCACACUGUUUUGUCCUUCUUUUGAGAUUGCUUUGACAUCAACCAGUUCUAGCAUCUACCCAGUAACCAGUUCUUCACUCGAGCACUAGAAGUCUUAGAGUUUUGCUACUCUUUUAUACCUCCUGUAUAUCAUAGCCAUGUAUUGAAGAUAACGGACUUGAGAAGAGUUAAAGCGGAAUCGUAAGGAUUUAAGCUUCAUUUCAGGAAAAGGAACGAAACAAUCUCAAAGAUUCCUCAUGGAUUAGUUAAGAAGGCAUUCUAUUGGGAUUCUUUGAUUGAUAGAGAAGUGAAGCACCUACGGUGAAGUAAGGCAGCGAGAAGGUACUAUGAUUUUAUAUGCAAAAUAAAAAAAGAUAAGGAUAUAGUUCAACCAGAUUUUGCUCCAAAAGAUGUGUGAGGCAAUUGAAUGGAACUAUGGAAGGAUCCUAAGUGUGUCAAAAAAUCAGAAAUAAAUGCAAAAUAUCGUUGUGGCGGCGGGACUACCAUCUCCAUUGGGACUCACACGGGCGGCUCUGUCACCAUUGGGGAACAUCGCAAGAUACUUGUAAGUAUAUUCUUCGUAAGGGGUAAUCACUAGAAUUCAGUAGACAUAUUUCAGCUUCUUAAUAGGUUGAGUGGAACGGAGGAGCAGUAACUUAUUAUUAGUAAGUAGUAAUAUUUGCUAAGUUUUGUUGCUCUAUCAUAGACUGGCUUUGUUAUAUUUGUGAUGUAUGCAAAUAACACGAAGCAUCUUUAGUUUUUCAGGUGAACCCGCUUUUUCACCUGAAGCUCCUGAACCCACAUUUUUGCUCUAUCAAACGAUGCCUAAAAUAAAGAAUUGAGAAACUAAGUUAACAAGUUCACAUGCUAGCAAAUAUUUUCAGAGCAAUAUCAAGUAAUUAUAGUGAAUAGUUGGAAUCAGGUGAGAAAGUUACUUGAUUUGUGAUAUCAUAAAUAAUUAUAGCAGUUGCAGCUCCUCUGUAAUACAUUGGAGCAAGACUGUGGUAUCUCUCUUGGCCUGUUGUGUCCCAUAUUUCAAAUUUUGUAGUAGCAUCAUUUACUGCUACUGUUUGCGAGAAAAAUGCUGCACCAAUAGUUGAUUCCUACACAUAACAUAAGCUGAGUUCAAUCAAAAAGUCCAAAUAUAAAAUAGGAAGCACAAAACUAAACUGGAUUUUGCAGCUACACUUAUCAAAUGGUAAACCAAGAACCUACCUGAAAUUCAAUAAAUGAGUACUGUUGUAUACCUUCUUGGUACCUCCAUUAGUAAACUGUUUCACCUUAUCAAAGGAAAUUAAGUUCUUUGUUUUUGUAUAGGCUAUUGAAAAGGGUCGAGAUCCAACACCAAGUGAGCUACACUUGCACGUCCAUACAUAUGGUCAUGAUGAAAAAUCUUUUGUUAGUAAGCGAUCCUGACUUGUACAUGUAAGUCCAAAAUCCUAUAAUUUUACUGACUUUGUAUGUGACAUUAACGUCCUACUUGAACUACUUGUUUAACACCUAUUUCAGUCCUAAAGAUGAUAUUUGCUAACUUUUGUUUGAAUGAAGAACUUAACAGGUAACUUAUUUAUGCUUUUAUCAUUUCUUUUCCCCUAAUGUUCAUCUUCAUCAUUAAUGAAUUUCACUAAUUAUUAUGGAAUUUACCGAAAAAAUAUCAGUAAAUAUUACAGCAAAAAAUACAAAUUCAAUCUGAUAUUGAUCAAUCUUUAGCAUUUUAUCAAGUCGCGGGAGGGAAAAAGAAGAGAAGAAAAUAUGGUCUUGGAUCUCAAGCAAAAUAUUUCUAUGGGCCGAAUCUUCGUGCCUCUUCUAGAUCAUCUGAUGCUUCUUCAUCAUCAGCACCUCCGAAUGCUCAGUCAGCUCCGAUGGCGAAUUUGGAUGAGUUAGUGAUGCGAUUGAUUCCUGCAUUGACUGAUCAUAUGGUUCUUGUACUGACUGAUCACAUGCUUCCUGUGUUGGCUCAGCAAGUAAGAGGAUUGAUAGCUUCACCAUCACAUGUGCAAGAUAAUCAUACCGAUCACCCAUCAGCUAGGGCACCUCCAGUUCCUCCUCCUCCUACUAAUAUUAACGAGGUUCAUGCAUCGCUUUCUGAUGAUGACCUCCACUCUCCAGUAUCUCAGUAGUUAACUAUUUUUAUUUGAAUUUUAUUUUGGUAUUGUAGAUAUUUUGGUAUUAACAAGGUUCAUGCAUAGCUUUCUAAUGAUGACCUUCACUCUCCAGUCUCUCAAUAAUUAACUAUUUUUAUUUGAACUUUA
This is an RNA transcript of Nicotiana tabacum (common tobacco), 2501 nucleotides long. RefSeq lists it as uncharacterized. NCBI's taxonomy places the organism in Eukaryota, Viridiplantae, Streptophyta, Magnoliopsida, Solanales, Solanaceae. The record is from RefSeq and is a predicted model, not a curated record.